CCUACGGGUGGCAGCAGUGGGGAAUAUUGCGCAAUGGGCGAAAGCCUGACGCAGCGACGCCGCGUGAGGGAUGAAGGUCCUCGGAUCGUAAACCUCUGUUAGCAGGGAAGAACGGUCACUGUGCUAAUCAGCAGUGAAUUGACGGUACCUGCAAGGGAAGCCCCGGCUAAUUCCGUCCCAGCAGCUGCGGUAAUACGGGGGGUGCGAGCGUUAAUGGGAUUUACUGGGCGUAAAGCGCUCGUAGGCGGUAUGUCAAGUCAAGGGUGAAAUCCCCGGGCUCAACGUGGGAACUGCCUUUGAAACUGGCAAACUGGAGUGUGGGAGAGGAUAGUGGAAUUCCAGGUGUAGGGGUGAAAUCCGUAGAGAUCUGGAGGAACACCAGUGGCGAAGGCGACUAUCUGGCACAUAACUGACGCUGAGGAGCGAAAGCGUGGGUAGCAAACAGGAUUAGAUACCCUAGUAGUC
RNAcentral lists this ribosomal RNA (465 nucleotides) under uncultured bacterium. RNAcentral's name for it is "partial 16S ribosomal RNA". It matches the Rfam family "Bacterial small subunit ribosomal RNA", at positions 338 to 795 of the family's 1533-position model. The record is from RNAcentral.